UGUACCUACGGGGGGCAGCAGUGGGGAAUAUUGCACAAUGGGGGAAACCCUGAUGCAGCGACGCCGCGUGAGUGAAGAAGUAUUUCGGUAUGUAAAGCUCUAUCAGCAGGGAAGAAAAUGACGGUACCUGACUAAGAAGCCCCGGCUAACUACGUGCCAGCAGCCGCGGUAAUACGUAGGGGGCAAGCGUUAUCCGGAUUUACUGGGGGGAAAGGGAGCGAAGACGGCAAGACA
This 234-nucleotide ribosomal RNA is filed under the name uncultured bacterium. RNAcentral describes it as "partial 16S ribosomal RNA". It matches the Rfam family "Bacterial small subunit ribosomal RNA", at positions 334 to 585 of the family's 1533-position model. The record is from RNAcentral.